GACGAACCGAGCGAACGUUAUUCGGAAUCACUGGGCUUAAAGGGCGCGUAGGCGGGUGGUCAAGUCCGGGGUGAAAGCCUCCAGCUUAACUGGAGAAGUGCCUCGGAUACUGAUCGUCUCGAGGGAGAUAGGGGCGUGCGGAACUUCCGGUGGAGCGGUGAAAUGCGUAGAUAUCGGAAGGAACACCGGUGGCGAAAGCGGCGCGCUGGAUCUCUUCUGACGCUGAGGCGCGAAAGCCAGGGGAGCGAACGGG
Molecule: ribosomal RNA, 253 nt
Filed under: uncultured bacterium
Lineage: Bacteria
Description: partial 16S ribosomal RNA
Rfam family: Bacterial small subunit ribosomal RNA
Source: RNAcentral